This 720-nucleotide long non-coding RNA is filed under the name Olea europaea subsp. europaea. Lineage: Eukaryota; Viridiplantae; Streptophyta; Magnoliopsida; Lamiales; Oleaceae. The record is from RNAcentral.
CACAAGCAGAAUCCCAUGAGUUGUCAUACCUUUGAAACUUCGAGGUAAUGUUUCCAGAAAUAUAAAAAUUCCGAAAGACACUUUUUCUUUAGACUCGACAAUACAUGAUAUUAUUACAUAUUACUCCUCUCCUUGACAGUAGGUAUUUCUCUCAAACAAAUAUCGAACUUGACUCAAAGUGUAAUUCAAUUGUACUGCAGACAGAUUAUGGGCUAGCAUUGAUUGCACAUGAAUAUGACAAUCAAGCAAAGAAUGUAAAUAAACCACGAAAACACCUUGAGGAUUAAUGAGAACCUCAUACUAAUACCUAAAAAGAAAGCUGUGGAAGCACACAAUAUACCAGCCAGUUCCAUCCUUUUGGCGCAGUCUGGAUACCUGCUUUGGAUAUAUUUUCUCACCCACAUGAACGAAAAUGCAAGAAUCACAAGAACACAGAAAGAGAUCAUUGGUGAGGUUUCUCUUCGACUUGGUGACAACAUUGCAAUACCAAGAGCUGAUGUGAAGCAGAAAGAAAUGAUUGGACCUGUCUAGUCGAAAUUCUCUGGCGGAAGAGUUUGUGGGUUAUUUUGAUUGUCGUUGUAGGCCAACAUGGGAAGGAAAGGAUCCUAGACCUUGGGUGGCGGUGAACACAGAUAAAAGUUUCCCAAUUUGCUCUUCGCUUCUUGGAUCCAUUUCUUAACAAUUUCCAUUAUCAGAGAAAACUAGAAUUCCAAUUCCCUU